GGCAGAGACACACAUUGUUUCAGACUCCCUCUGGAAACAUGAACAAGCAGACUCAUGGAUUAUCACUGCUACUGCUACUGCCACUGCUACUGCCCCUGUGCUGGGGGGGAGAAGAGAAUUCUACAGAAGAAACCAGCACCGUGUACGAAUAUGACUAUGACAGUGAUGUCAGCUAUGACCUGUUUGCUGUACUUAACACGGCACCUGGGAUCCCUCCAGCCUGCUCCGUGCUCCUGAUCUGCCUGGCCCUCUCCUACCUGUUUUAGUCUGGGAACAGGACUCUCGCGCUGUGCACAGGAACAGUUCAGAAGGACCCCGUUACGUUCUGUGCAAGAUACCCAGAAAUAGCGGGGGACCAACACGAAGAAUAUUCAUCAGCACUGCUCACCCAUACUAUGCACUGAAGACACCUGAAGACACACCCGAAGAAAAAGCCUCACCAGCUGGAAUACCUUUUUUUAAAAAACAAACACCCCUCUCAAGCAGGAAGUAUUUCAGUUUAAGCCAUAUUAUCAGCAAGAUCAUCACCUCUGCUUUAAUUAUGUUACGUUCAGAAGUUACUAUAUUCAGCUGUACUUGUUAAUAUAUAGUAUUGCUCAGUUCUUGCUUAGCCUUAGAUAACCUGGUAGAGUUACACAACAUCUGUCCACUGGCUACCCUGACUUACGAAUGUUACAUCUCCUUGUGUUAAUGAUGCCGAGCCAGCAGGGCCCCAAGCAGAUGUCAGCUCACCUCUUCAGCUUGCAACAUUAUUCUAAUAACACUUAUUUCCAUACUGAGCACAAUAAAACAGGACUUGCAUGCAAGGAUUAUUAGAUUAUAACUGGAUUGGGUUUAUUAAGGAAGAAAGAAAAGGAUCCGAAAUGGGAGAAUUUACUAGAUGCGUCUGGUCAUGUUGUUCCCAUGAUGCACUACAAAAUUGAUUUGUUUUUGUCAUCUUCGCUGAGAAAAUCUCUCUCCCGGGUUGUUUCGCAGAAAGCACAGGCUAAUCGACAUAGGGUGUCGUGACCAUUCUGAAGUUUCUGAAGUGCCUGUCUCACCCUCUUCCAGCAAAAGAUCAUCUAAAUAAUUUGCUAAUGAUUUUGUGCAGGUCUAGCUGUGACAUCGGAGGGAAAGAAAAGGUUUAAAAUAAAGUGUUUUAAUUAGAAAUAAAACCCGGAUCACCAAUCUGAUCUCAUUCACAAAUCUCUGUGAGAUUUGUCAAUUAAAACUUUAAUUUUUUAAGGAAACCAGCACAAUAAUUAUACUCCAGUGCCACCUUAAACCUACCCCCCAGAGAAGUUGAAAUGAUGGGCAUACAAUUUCCGAAUACAACACAGCCAAUCCUUAGACCUAACUAUUUUUGGUUUGCUAUAGAAUUUGGAUGUAUCGGAAAUUAAAGCAUCCUGUAUGUAAUAAAACAGUUUUAACAAUGUAAGAUGAUAAAAUCAAUAUGCAAUUCAAAGUUGCUUAUCACCAUAUAACAAAUUUAAAAAAAUUGGUUUGUGUCAUUAUGGUCUGAUAAUCAAUAAGCAUUUUUAUCGAGUGUAAUGCAAUUGUAUUUAAAUUGAUUCAAUAACCAUUUAAACAUAGCGAAUGCUGUGCAGUCAUUUACAAUUUGUAAUAUAUUUUAUAUUACAGCACCACAGUAUUGACUCUUUUUUUAAAUACAAAAACAUUUGAACUAA
Long non-coding RNA from Lepisosteus oculatus (spotted gar), 1667 nucleotides. RefSeq lists it as uncharacterized. Lineage: Eukaryota; Metazoa; Chordata; Actinopteri; Semionotiformes; Lepisosteidae. The record is from RefSeq and is a predicted model, not a curated record.